Molecule: long non-coding RNA, 493 nt
Organism: Melopsittacus undulatus (budgerigar)
Lineage: Eukaryota; Metazoa; Chordata; Aves; Psittaciformes; Psittaculidae
Exons: 4
Source: RefSeq, a predicted model, not a curated record
CACACAUGAACUAUGAAGCAUCCAGUCUGUGUCCACACUGGAGAGGUGCUUUAGCAAACUCUUCAAAGCCAAUUGUAACAAUGAAGAGAGAUCAGAAAGAAGUACAAUAACUCCAGGGUUGUUCUGAGUGUCUUCUGAACAAAGAAACAGGGGAAGAGUAAGAUGAGACAAAGCACCAGUGACCACAUCUCAGCUAUUUCACAACCAACCUUAAGGAUCCCGGUUCUGAUGACAGCUAGUUAAGCAUCUCCCGGCUUGUGACUGCUUACCCUUGUGCUUGGCAAGAGGCGAUGGAUAGAAGUUAUGAUAGGUCCUGGUGUGAAAUCACACACAAGCCUCAGCACUGAUACUCUGUGACGACAGCCUCUCCCCAUGGCCUGAGGAUGAUGGAGAAAUCUCUGCUGCCUCCUAUCUAGUACUCGUACUUAGUCCCUCCAUUGGAUAACUUGUACUCUGUGGAAGUAGAAGACAGAAGACUUGACAAUGGACGAAG